AAUAUUAUACUAUCGGGGCCACCCUUUUGCUGCGCCGCCGCGUUCGCGAAAAAGCCCUUCGUGUCGUCACGUUCCGUCCUAAGGGCAGUAACGGAACGUGCCUUGGGAUGAGUCUCUGGCUGCUUACCUACCAGCAGCGGCGGUAAGUCGUAGGGGGCGAGCGUUAUCCAGAAUUAUUGGGCGUAAAGGGUGCGUAGGCGGCCUUUUAAGUCAGAUGUGAAAGGAUACGGCUUAACCGUAGUUAGCAUUUGAAACUAAAAGGCUUGAGUGCAGGAGAGGAGAGUGGAAUUCAUAGUGUAGCGGUGAAAUGCAUAGAUAUUAGGAGGAACACCAGUGGCGAAGGCGACUCUCUGGACUGCAACUGACGCUGAGGCACGAAAGCGUGGGGAGCGAACA
This 396-nucleotide ribosomal RNA is filed under the name uncultured bacterium. Its description in RNAcentral is "partial 16S ribosomal RNA". It matches the Rfam family "Bacterial small subunit ribosomal RNA", at positions 360 to 774 of the family's 1533-position model. The record is from RNAcentral.